AGAGGGUGCGAGCGUUAAUCGGAAUUACUGGGCGUAAAGGGCGCGUAGGUGGGUGUAUAAGUUGGAUGUGAAAGCUCCGGGCUCAACCUGGACAGGCCAUCCAAAACUGUAUGCCUAGAGUGCAGUAGAGGUAAGCGGAAUUUCCGGUGUAGCGGUGAAAUGCGUAGAUAUCGGAAGGAACAUCAGUGGCGAAGGCGGCUUACUGGACUGAGACUGACACUGAGGCGCGAAAGCGUGGGGGAGCGAACAGGAUUAGAUACCCUGGUAGUCCACGCUGUAAACGAUGAGUACUAGCCGUUGGGUCCUGCGGGACUUAGUGGCGCAGCAAACGCGCUAAGUACUCCGCCUGGGAGUACGGCCGCAAGGCUA
Molecule: ribosomal RNA, 369 nt
Filed under: uncultured organism
Description: partial 16S ribosomal RNA
Rfam family: Bacterial small subunit ribosomal RNA
Source: RNAcentral